RNAcentral lists this long non-coding RNA (234 nucleotides) under Olea europaea subsp. europaea. Lineage: Eukaryota; Viridiplantae; Streptophyta; Magnoliopsida; Lamiales; Oleaceae. The record is from RNAcentral.
AUUUACCCUACGCCACAACUACCCAAUAUCAUUCAUCUUUCCCCCCACCUUUGCCUCCCACAUAUUCACUCCCAUCAAGCUCUUUUUCCCAACCAGCCAUUAAGUCAAGCUUUGGAUCCAACUGGUGAGAAAUUAUUCCAUUCAAGGGUUCCUACAAUAGAUUGGCAAAAUGAAACUUCCAUCUGUAAGAGACGACCCACGUCAUCAACUACACGCAUCCCAAGACAAUCAUCG